GGUGGGGGUAGGACGGGCCUGGAGAGAGCUGGGGAAGAGAGGCAGCUCGCCUCGCUCUUCGGAUCCCCCAUCCUCGCCUCCUGUGAGUCUCGAGACCCUCAGCACAGCCACUUCUCCCCGGCUCUUGGCAGAGAGGACACGCGGCAGGCGUUGCCUUGGCAACGCCGGGAUGCCCAGCAACAAGUCCGUGGCGGGUGCCACGUGCCUGGCGCAGACCAAUCUGAGCUUCGGCCGGGAAGCAGGCUCCAUGCUCCUCCUUUGGAGCUGGGAAGUCAGAGCUGUCCUCCAUGUGGGAGGCAGAAUGGAAGAAUUAAGGCAGAGUGUUUCAGCUGCACUCCCACAAGUCAUGUAGCUGACAGUGAACUUGCCCCUUUAGUUUUGCAUCUGAGGCCACUGGCUCCCUCACCCUAGCCCCAGUCCUGAUUAUUUAUUUCCAACAUGCAAUCCACAAAAAUAUCAUUAAUUCCUCAUCUCAAUGCUCUGAGAAGGUACUACAAUCACCGUCAUUUCACAACUGGGGAAACUGAAGCAUGAAGAGGUUUGAUUGUACUGGAAUACCCACAGCAAGGAGGAGAAAAAUCUGAGUUUGAAGCCAAGUUCGUGUGUGUUUUGGCUCAGAGCCUGCUCAGGAAAGCAAAACAAUAAACUAAAGUUAUGAGUUUGAUUUUGAAUCA
This 674-nucleotide long non-coding RNA is filed under the name Bos indicus x Bos taurus (hybrid cattle). Its description in RNAcentral is "lncRNA (ENSBIXG00000004527.1)". The record is from RNAcentral. Lineage: Eukaryota; Metazoa; Chordata; Mammalia; Artiodactyla; Bovidae.